UACGAAGGGGGCUAGCGUUGCUCGGAAUUACUGGGCGUAAAGCGCGUGUAGGCGGAUCGUUAAGUCAGAGGUGAAAGCCCGGGGCUCAACCCCGGAACUGCCUUUGAUACUGGCGGUCUUGAGCAUGACAGAGGCAAGUGGAAUUCCGAGUGUAGAGGUGAAAUUCGUAGAUAUUCGGAGGAACACCAGUGGCGAAGGCGACUUGCUGGGUCAUUGCUGACGCUGAGACGCGAAAGCGUGGGGAGCAAACAGG
This 253-nucleotide ribosomal RNA is filed under the name uncultured bacterium. Its description in RNAcentral is "partial 16S ribosomal RNA". It matches the Rfam family "Bacterial small subunit ribosomal RNA", at positions 524 to 776 of the family's 1533-position model. The record is from RNAcentral.